AACAUAUUCUUCAUAUACAAACUAUUUUUUCCAAAUAAAUGGAACCUUAAAUCUCAAUUCUGUAAUAUCCCAUUUCCUUCUGUAAAUGAAUUGGUAAAACUCGUAUGGAGAAGGGAAAUGCAGACAUGGUUUGAAGUUCUGGAGAAGAUAAUAGCCUCUGAAUCAGUGAUUUGGUGAUCAAUCGUCUUCUUCUCGCUUGUAUACAUCGGUGAUUUGAUGACCAAUCUUCUUCUUUACGUUGGAGAUUCCAUAUUUUAUUGAUUUUCAACUACAUUGUGCCUCGAGCAGGGGCGUACCUAAGUACCCAACACUUAACAGCAUCUCCCUGGCGGACUCUGAAGGCUAAAAUCGUGGGCGUUUUAGUUGCUUGCAGCUAGUACGGUGUAUAUCAUCGCAGAGAUGUUUAAUAACCCAAGUUAUCAUCAGUUAACCGGUUCAUGAAGGGAUAAAUUCUGGGUUUAGAAGUGGCGAUGGUUAUCUUCUGUUGGUGGAGACACAGGAGACACCAGACAUAAACAUAAAAAUGGAUUUUUCCAAAAAGAAAACAAAAAAGGUCUGUUCGGGAUUUCUCGCAAACUCACGGGAGAAAUAGUGCAAGUCCUAUGAACUAUAAUUAUCUAUAUACAAUUACGAGAAAUGGUCUCCAGUGGCAAGUAAACAAAUAAAUAAACAAAUUUAAAUAUAUAAACAAAUAAAAUUUUCAAAGAAAACCACAAAAUAUUGAGAUGCAUAGAUGGAAAAGGGUGAAUCAUCAGAGCAGCCAUUUGCUAGCAACUACGCAAGAAAAUGGACUACUAUUCAAAUCCCUUUUACCAAAAAUGAGUUUCAUGGGUAACACGAUGCUUCGCCUUGAAGAAUAUCUCAUAUUUUGCCAACCACCAGAAAAUGUAGACGAAGAAGAUAAUCAUCCACACCAAAAACCACGCUAUACAAAAACCAUGAACAUUAAAAUUCUACCCAGUUAAAAACCUAAGUUCUUUCUUUCGCCUUCUUUCUUUCGCUUUCCUUGAAUAAAUACCUACACAUUUCUUAUUUUGUUUUCUUCCAUGCGCCUCAGCAAAUUCUGUCAAAACCAGGCACAGCAAUGGACAAAAUAAAAAUAAAAAUUAAAUAAAAAGCUGCAUCUGACCUUCCAAUCAGCAUUCGUCUCCCUUGCCCCUAAAAACAACUGCAGAAAGGAUUGUGUUUAAAUAUGGUGGGUUGCAUAGACUGUAUGGUUUCAGCUUGAACUUGCAUCGUCAAUACCUUCCCGUUGAGAGAUUUGUGAGUGAAAUGCCAACUCUGUUGAACUCAUCACAGCAUCUUCGGGGUUAAAUGUCAACCCUGUUGUACUCAUUACAGCAUCUUCUGGGUUACGAGAUGGCUUGAACGUCCUGCUAUGUAGGUUAGGGGUCAUUUCCUCCACUGUCAUCUUUUGAAACGACUUCGUCAGCAAAUCAUGGCUUGGUGCAUUCGAGGAUUGCAGGCCUGAGUCAGUAGGAAUCCUGCUAGAACUAGGUAUCCAUUUCAUCCAAUCAUUACGCCUUCUCACUUUGUCACCCUGUACUUCUAGAAGAGUUGAAGUCAUCAAGGAUUCCAAUAUUAACUGGAUGUCUUUAGUCAUGUUCUUAACCUGCAAAAGCAGUUUAAACCCAUAUUAAUAAAUCGCAAUGGACCAAUGGAACAACCUUAAUAUUUCACCAAUACUUUACCCAUGUCCCUUUUUUGAGGAAUUAAGUGAAAAUAAAUGUACUAGAAUAUAAACCAACAAGUUUGAUUGGUGAAACCAGCAUAUGCACCAUACUAACAUAGAACUUAAAUGCAGUUUUGAACAUGAAGAAUAUCCACUUGUAGUAAAAAUGACAUAACAAAGAUGACAGUUAUUUGAAAGUCACACACAAGGCAAAAACAAUUCCUCCAUUACCCAUAAGCAUUUCCUAAUAAUGUCCUAUCAUGAAUAAAUUAGUACUUUGAAAGACAGCUUUUGCCAUUAACCUACUCAUGCUAGAGGUAGGCUCAAGAAGAAGUUCAAAACAGCUUAGAGCAUGAAAUCCAUUUGGGUCCGAAACUCCUACAUCAUGCAAAUCUAUAAUACACAAAGGCUUGUUACACCUCAAAAUUUAUUUUAUUUUAAGCUCUAAUGUUCCAUAAAUUAAUCAAAGUAUCUGAUCCUGAAAAUAUAAAUACACGGAUGCAAGCAUGCAGCAAUUAAAAUAAACCCAAAUUCUUACCUACGUCAUAUCUUCAGUAUUACAUCAUGUAUUCCUAUUUUUAUGAGGGGAAGGGCAUUGAUUAAAUACAUCAUGAAAAAUUAACUGGUAGUUCCAUAUAAAUGUAAAGCCAGUACAGCUUCCCUAGACUUCAAUCACUAUCUCCAAAAUGAAGAUGAAGUUCUACAAAUAUAUGCAAAGUGAAGAUAAAGUUCUCCAAUCCUGCUACUCUUUCUACUGUGGACAACUAUGCUUACACUCUAAAAUAUGUGCUUGCAGCCCACAUUAUGUAACCUCUUUCUAGAAGUUCACAAAUAAUUAAUGAUAUUCUGAAUCCAAAGAUAUUCUGCUAAGCAUAAAUUCACAAACUUGAAAAGCUCUCUGCAUGAUUCACAAGACCUAAAAACAUAAAUCCAUCUCCAGCCCACCUCGUAGCAUGCCAUAAAAAGCCGUUUACUGAUUCUUAAAAACCCAUUAAAAAAUGUUAGCUUUACCAUAUCAAUGAUUUCAACCAACUGCCUUUCUUAAUUUGAGAAGAUUGAUCCUCCCAAAAUCAAGCACUUAAUUAAAUCAUCCAACAAGAAACCAGUAACACUAGCAUGAUUUGAAGAAGUAGAUAGAGAGAGCAAAAGAAUUCUACAAUUGCUAUUUCAAUGAACAAAAUUGAUCAUCACAGAUUAUAGAACACUGAAUGAAACAACUGUUAGCCUGCUGUCUACACCAAAAACAAAAACUUGUCAAAUAUUUUGUAACAUUUCGCUUAUCUCUACAACCUAUUUCUCUAAUCCCCCAUGUCUUACAAGAAUUUUGUCCACUAAUAAAUCCAAUUGUCCACAAUGCAUCUUCCCAUGAAUCCACAUUUAAGAUUCAUUGGGACACAGUUUUUGCUCAAUCAGGUGAUAUUUGAAUCCAUCAGUCAGAAAUUCUAGAAAGAAAAUCUCAUUCUAGCAUUAAACAGCCUCAACAAAACACUAUCUGAUAAAUGGGAAUUACUAGAGGAAAAAGUAGACCAUGCAGCCCAGCAAAGAAAAAUUUCUCACCUUUAUGAACAUACCUUUAACUUUCAUGAAAUCAGCCUCUUUUCAAACCUUUAUCAUUAAAACCCAAUGAAUACUGAAAGAGACACCUAAGAUAGCGCCAGUUGGACAAAUGACCAGGAGCUUACUUUCAUCAUUAAUUUUGAUGAUAAAGGCAUAAUUCUACUUCCAUAAAUCAAGAAAAAGAAAAAUGGAGAACGAGGGGGGGAUGGGAGAGCGUGAUGAUGGGGGUUGCUGAAAAUUUAGGUGGAAAUUAACUUAUCAGAAAUAAUAGAGAACAGAACCUAAGUUUAUCCGAUUUGCCACUUCAAGUAAUAAAAGAAAAAUUAAUUGAUUGUGGUUAUAAACUUGUAUAUAACUAUGUGAAAGCAAUAUGUCAAAGCAAACGAAAAGAAUAACCAACUGAAUAAAGGACAUGUGCCAUCUUCAACUCAAACUUCUAGGUCAAAAGGAAUGUUUCACUUUAUCCUUGCAAGAAGUUUUACAAACAAUAACCUUUUAAGUAUAUAAAGGAUGAAUUUUGAAGCAAAAAAACAAUUGGGAUAUUAGAAACUCAAUGUAAAUGGUCGACCCAGAAAUUACUUCAUUGCUGUUUUAAGACCAAGGCAAGCAUUCAAUUGGAAAUUACAACAAUAUACACGGCCAAUUUUAUGGUAUAGGAUAACAAUUUAUGCCCCAAGGUAAAAUAUCAUGAUCCUCAAGAUCAUUAAUAAAAUUCACUUACUCGAUUAAAGCCUGCUAUUAAAGUAAUUGGAACCCAGCCUUGAUUAUCCAUGUUUGACUUCAAAUAUUCAUCUUUAAUUAAAUUAGCAUCACUGAAAUAAUAUUCUAUCUGAAUGACUAACAUAACAGACAAAGGAGGCUCAUGAACAGGCACAAUCAUUGCAGGUGCUGGUCCAUUAGUGAUGAAAGGCAUCCUAAAGGUUUCCAAUGACAUUGUAGGAAUAUAUACCAAAUCUGAAUAGAGCAAAUGAAUUAAUUCAAAAUCCACAAUAAAAUUAUUUUUGUCCAUAAAACAAAAUGUAUUGUAUUAGUGAAUGGAGAGUGUUACUACCACCCAUAAACUGGAGUUUAAAAAAGGAGAUCAUAAGCAAAACCAAAUUAUUAUUUGGAAUACAACUUAUCAAUCAAAUUGCAAAAAUUAGCAAAAAGCUAGCUGUUUUUAACAUUUUGUCAAUCCCAAAACCAACAGAGAUAGGGUGCCUUUCAUUUUAGAGAGUUGGAUGGCUUCCACAUCAAACAAUAAACAUGUUCAUUAGGAAAACCUUACCAGAAAAGCCCAUGUGGUUCCCAAAAGGUCUUACGUGCUGAGGUGGAACAAAUGCGGCAGUAUUGGGUGGAGGAGGCCUAACAAAGCCCCUUGGAGAUCUCUGUGGGUGCCCAUGAACAUCCCUGAAAUUCCCAUAAUGUCCACGGUCUUGAUCACGCCUUCCCCCAAAAUUGUUCUGGUAGGGACCAUCUCCACGUUGUCCAAAGUUGCCUCUCCGGGAAGAAUGUCUGUGAUCAUUUACCACAGGUGGCUGAGGUCCAAACCCCCCAGCUGGUCUAGGUUCCCAAUAGUUACUCCUGUAUGAAGGGUCUCUUGGAGAUUGAUCCGGUAUUGCUGGGACAAGAUUCCCAUAACCAUUGGGAGACAUUGCAAAUAUAGGAAGUGGUGGUGGUGGCGGAGGAGAACGAGAAAAGCUGCUGUGAGAAUAACCACCUCCAGAGCUACUACCGCCACUGCCCCCCCGCUUCAUGGACUUCUGUCGAGUUGGCAUCGCAUAGUUUGAUACAGAAUUAGAUUUUGCAUUACUAGAAGCUUGACUGUGAGGCGAAUCAGGUAUUACAGGUCCCUGAGGCCCAUCAGAAACGAUCUUCGAAGAAGAAUCGGCGGCUAUUGAUUUAGGAGAAGGUUUGGUGGAUUCAGAUAGAGCAGGCCAUGAAUCGGCUCCCAUCACAGAACUACGCUCAGCUGCGCCAUUUAACGGUUUCUUCCAAGCUGGCUUCUUUGGCCUACCCACAUUGGCGCUGUUACUGUCCGAAGUAUCUGGCCCGACAAAAUUAUCUGCUGCCGGCAGCGGUGUAGAAAGCGGCUUACGAGGGGAGCAAUCAGAAAAAUUAGAUUGCUGCUCCCUGGAAGAAGUCAGAAGAGACGACGGUGACGUCAAGGGAUGAAGAGCCGGAAUCGAUUCCGGCUCACCCAGCACAACUUUAGCCCACGGAGAUGGCAAAUUUUUCCUACUGUGAGGACUGUUGACACCAUCUCCAGAACCAGCGCCUCGCGGGGAUUGAGACGAAUGAGAUUGCGAAUCCGCAGUCAUCGCCAUUAGGGUUUCAGAAAAGGAAAAAAACAGUGUAUUUUGAUCAAUAUAAAACAAAAAUUGGUCAAUUAAUUAAUUAAUUAAUCAACCAACGACUGAAAACAGAACGAUGUUAUUGGAAAAAUGCACCAAAAUGGAAAAAUCUGGGGACGAUCUAACACGUGAAAUUUACGCGCCGUCACAGCCCCUCCUUCCGUCUCAGUUUCCUUCUCCCUUCUCUCUGAUACCGUUUUAUUUGAUUUCUUUUCAGGGAGUAGUGAGGAAGAUGCAGGAUUUGUUAUGUUCUGAGUGCAAGCUACAAUUACUAAAAUAUCCUUCUUUGAAUUUUAUGGGAAGUUGGAAAAAGAGUUUUGCUUGAGCUGUGUUUCUUU
RNAcentral lists this unclassified non-coding RNA (5900 nucleotides) under Hevea brasiliensis (rubber tree). Lineage: Eukaryota; Viridiplantae; Streptophyta; Magnoliopsida; Malpighiales; Euphorbiaceae. The record is from RNAcentral.